Molecule: ribosomal RNA, 373 nt
Filed under: uncultured prokaryote
Description: bacterial SSU rRNA
Rfam family: Bacterial small subunit ribosomal RNA
Source: RNAcentral
CAUAGGCUUCAAGCGUUGUCCGGAUUUAUUGGGCGUAAAGAGUUCGUAGGCGGUCAAGUAAGUCGGGUGUGAAAAUUCUGGGCUCAACCCAGAGACGCCACCCGAUACUGCUUAACUUGAGUUCGAUAGGGGAGUGGGGAAUUCCUAGUGUAGCGGUGAAAUGCGCAGAUAUUAGGAGGAACACCGGUGGCGAAGGCGCCACUCUGGAUCGAUACUGACGCUGAGGAACGAAAGCAUGGGUAGGAAACAGGAUUAGAUACCCUGGUAGUCCAUGCGGUAAACGGUGGGCACUAGGUGUGGGAUUCUAUUAACGAAUUCCGCGCCGUCGCUAACGCAUUAAGUGCCCCGGCUGGGGAGUACGGUCGCAAGACUA